RNAcentral lists this ribosomal RNA (1084 nucleotides) under Syzygium luehmannii. RNAcentral describes it as "bacterial LSU rRNA". It matches the Rfam family "Bacterial large subunit ribosomal RNA", at positions 943 to 2014 of the family's 2925-position model. The record is from RNAcentral. Lineage: Eukaryota; Viridiplantae; Streptophyta; Magnoliopsida; Myrtales; Myrtaceae.
ACCGAUGCAAACUCCGAAUACCGAUGAGUGAUAUCCGGGAGACAGACUGCGGGUGCUAACGUCCGUAGUCAAGAGGGAAACAACCCAGACCGCCAGCUAAGGCCCCAAAUUCCUAGUUAAGUGGGAAACGAUGUGGGAAGGCUUAGACAGCUAGGAGGUUGGCUUAGAAGCAGCCACCCUUUAAAGAAAGCGUAAUAGCUCACUAGUCGAGUCGGCCUGCGCGGAAGAUGUAACGGGGCUAAAACUAUAUGCCGAAGCUGCGGAUGUAUACUAUGUAUACGUGGUAGGGGAGCGUUCUGUAAGCCGAUGAAGGUGUAUUGAGAAGUAUGCUGGAGGUAUCAGAAGUGCGAAUGCUGACGUGAGUAACGACAAAACGGGUGAAAAACCCGUUCGCUGAAAGACCAAGGGUUCCAGUCCAACGUUAAUCGGGGCUGGGUGAGUCGACCCCUAAGGCGAGGCCGAGAGGCGUAGUCGAUGGGAAAUUGGUUAAUAUUCCAAUACUUCUGUGUAAUGCGAUGAGAGGACGGAGAAAGUUAAGUCAGCCUGGCGUUGGUUGUCCAGGUGAAAGGCAGUAGGCAUGCAUCUUAGGCAAAUCCGGGGUGCUCUAUGCUGAGAGCUGAUAGCAAGCUAGUUUACUAGCGAAGUGGCUGAUACUAUGCUUCCAGGAAAAGUCUCUAAGCUUCAGUUACACAGGAAUCGUACCCUAAACCGACACAGGUGGUCAGGUCGAGUAGACCAAAGCGCUUGAGAGAACUCUGCUGAAGGAACUAGGCAAAAUGGUACCGUAACUUCGGGAGAAGGUACGCUGCUGACGGUGAUAGGACUUGCUCCUUGAGCUAUUGGCAGCCACAGAAACCAGGCCCCUGCAACUGUUUAUUAAAAACAUAGCACUCUGCAAACACGAAAGUGGACGUAUAGGGUGUGAUGCCUGCCCGGUGCUGGAAGGUUAAUUGAUGGGGUUAGCGUAAGCGAAGCUCUUGAUCGAAGCCCCAGUAAACGGCGGCCGUAACAAUAACGGUCCUAAGGUAGCGAAAUUCCUUGUCGGGUAAGUUCCGACCUGCACGAAUGGCAUAAUGAUGGGGGG